UGUCAUUGGCCAACUUUUAUGGUUGUGUUUUAAGUUUUCAUUGAGUUGUGAUUGCAUUUCUAUAUUUUGUCUUCCAUUUUAGUUCCUUCUUACCUUCCAAUUCUUCUCUACCUUUUAAAUCUCGUUAGCAGAAGAAGGGUUUUUCUAAUAUGAUCUGCCACUUUCCUGUUAUUCUUUCUUUAGGCAAUUUGUGGUGAUGGAGAGCAGGCAAGUGGCCGGAAUUGCAACCGCAUCUCUCCUGGUGCUGACUUCUGGCUUGAUUUGGGAUUCUCGAGCGAUCAUCGGCGGCUAGAAGUGUAAGUUGAGAUAGGAAUGAUACCUUGCAGACUGGAGGUAGGAAACUGGUGUAAUUGAUGAUCGGCCAAAACAGAUCCAAAAGACUUGGAGCCAACAAAAGGCGUGUUGCUGACCUUUGAGUGCCCACUUGAGCAUAGAUCGAGUCCUUUUCAAAUAACGUACUCUUCUCCAAUCGAGAUGAGUUCUUUCCUUUCCACCUUGUUUGUAGCAUUGCAUCCUGCGUUUUCUUGUUAGUACUAAUUUCUUAUCAUGACGUGGAGUUGAUAUGUGCGAGAAUUAAUAAAUUGCUUACACUAUGUGGUGGUGUGAUACUUGAUUGUUUUCUCCAUUGCAGAUGGAUAAGAUGGUUAUCGUCGACAGCAAUAAUCGAUUCUUUUGAUGUGGGUGUUCGCACAAGGCGGUAAAUAGGUAGCCACAAAGUGUACUCCAUUUCCAUAAACAAUAAACAAACUCUCGACUUUAUGAUUAAAGGAUAAGGUGAGCAACCAACAAUGUCUUACUUUAUGGUUUGCAGAUAGAUAAAUAUUCGGUUUUUAUUUUAUUCCGUCUCGUGCAACUCAACUCAUUUUUAGUUGCACCGUUUGUUGUAUGGUCAAAUCGACUAACAGAAAUGAAGAUGAUUCUCAGGCUUGUUUGUUGUCCUGUUUUACUUGCAAUUCGGUUUCAUUUUUGGUUGCCUGGCAAAAGUAGUACAAGAACCUUAAGAAUUAAGACGAU
RNAcentral lists this long non-coding RNA (1014 nucleotides) under Linum usitatissimum (flax). Its description in RNAcentral is "long non-coding RNA (LUSI_LNC003328)". The record is from RNAcentral. Lineage: Eukaryota; Viridiplantae; Streptophyta; Magnoliopsida; Malpighiales; Linaceae.